CUUUUAUUUUUAGUAUUUCUCCAUAUUCUACUUCAUGAAUAGUAUAACUGUAUUUUCUCUCUUUUUUUCUUUUUUCAUGGUGCUGGGAUAGAAUGCUGGUCCUCAUGCAAUAGAGAUAUUUUUAGUCACUGUGAAGACCAGCUUCUGAAUAGUUUCAUUUGCCUGAGUUAUUCUGUACCAGUGCCCUCUCCCUUGCUUUCACCCAUUGUUCCUACUCUUGCAUGAUGAAGCUUCACCUAAAAUGUUGAGUAUCCUGCCCACAUGGGCCCUCUUUAGUUAAGUAAAAACCGUGCUCCUCGUUUUAGCUUUAGCCUUUCCAAAACCCCUCGACACAGGGGGCAGGUGUUUUUAAACUUUAAUGAGCAUUGGAGUCACCUGAUAUGUCUGUUAACUAGAAAUUGUCAGGCUCCACCCCUAGAGUUUCUGAUAAAAUGGACCUGUGCAGGGCUUGAGAGUUUGGUUUUUCAUAGUUUUCCCAGGUAGUGCUGCCGCUGCCUCCACCCAGAGCAACACCUUGAGAACCACCUGCUCUGUAUCCCCAAAGUCAGAGGCUAGCUCAUUUCCAGGUGAGGAGCUAAAGCAGAGGAAGGUUUUGCAGCAUUGACCAUGUCAUCUUACUGGCCUAGGUUUUUCCUGGCCAGGAGCAGUGCCACCCAAGGAGACUGGGGGAUGUGGGGACUACGUAAGUUCACCUGUGUGUAUGUGGCCAAAAGACGAAGCAUCACUACUCCUGGAGUCUGGAUCUGAACCCCGUGUUUGUCAUAGGAGCCAAGACAGAACCCAAGACACAGAAUAGUGGCACAGUAAUGAAGCAUGAAUUAUCCAGAUGAAAGCACCUACGGAAAUAAAGCUGCAGCGGCUUCGCGAGAAUCGUGUGAUUCUACUCAUGUUGCUGUCCAAAAGAGAAGAUAUGCUGAGCCCUCAGCUAGUUUUCCAUUCUUUCCCAUUGCUCAUGAGCAUUCCCAUUAGUAUUUCUAUCUUUAAAAACCAUAAAACUCACAUUUUUAACAACUUAUCGAUGUACCCCCAAAUGUAAUUUAAUCAUUCAAUUCAGUGAUAAAUCAUGUAUCAAAAACUAGAUUUUCCCCUCAUUCACCUAGUGGGAUAUUUAAAUUUUUUUAAAAAACAAAAGAAGGAUUGGUGAUUCAUAAAACUUUGGAC
Molecule: long non-coding RNA, 1161 nt
Filed under: Fukomys damarensis (Damara mole-rat)
Lineage: Eukaryota; Metazoa; Chordata; Mammalia; Rodentia; Bathyergidae
Description: lncRNA (ENSFDAG00000033479.1)
Source: RNAcentral